GACGAACGCUGGCGGCGUGCUUAACACAUGCAAGUCGAACGGAAAGGCCCCCUUGUGGGGUACUCGAGUGGCGAACGGGUGAGUAACACGUGAGUAACCUACCCUUGACUUUGGGAUAACUUCAGGAAACUGGGGCUAAUACCGGAUAGGAGCUCCUGCUGCAUGGGGGGGGUUGGAAAGUUUCGGCGGUUGGGGAUGGACUCGCGGCUUAUCAGCUUGUUGGUGGGGUAGUGGCUCACCAAGGCCUUGACGGGUAGCCGGCCUGAGAGGGUGACCGGCCACAUUGGGACUGAGAUACGGCCCAGACUCCUACGGGAGGCAGCAGUGGGGAAUAUUGCACAAUGGGCGGAAGCCUGAUGCAGCAACGCCGCGUGCGGGAUGACGGCCUUCGGGUUGUAAACCGCUUUCGCCUGUGACGAAGCGUGAGUGACGGUAAUGGGUAAAGAAGCACCGGCUAACUACGUG
RNAcentral lists this ribosomal RNA (465 nucleotides) under uncultured bacterium. Its description in RNAcentral is "partial 16S ribosomal RNA". It matches the Rfam family "Bacterial small subunit ribosomal RNA", at positions 28 to 507 of the family's 1533-position model. The record is from RNAcentral.